Molecule: ribosomal RNA, 482 nt
Filed under: uncultured bacterium
Lineage: Bacteria
Description: partial 16S ribosomal RNA
Rfam family: Bacterial small subunit ribosomal RNA
Source: RNAcentral
GAUGAACGCUAGCGGCAGGCCUAAUACAUGCAAGUCGGACGGGAUUCAGGAGCUUGCUUCUGAUGAGAGUGGCGCACGGGUGCGUAACACGUAUGUAACCUACCUUUAUCAGGGGGAUAGCCUCUCGAAAGAGAGAUUAAGCCCGCAUAAAAUCACAGCACAGCAUUGUGUAAUGAUCAAAUAUUUAUAGGAUAAAGAUGGGCAUGCGGAACAUUAGCUAGAUGGCGGGGUAACGGCCCACCAUGGCGACGAUGUUUAGGGGAUCUGAGAGGAUGGCCCCCCACACGGGUACUGAGACACGGACCAGACUCCUACGGGAGGCAGCAGUAAGGAAGAUUGGUCAAUGGGCGGAAGCCUGAACCAGCCAUGCCGCGUGCAGGAAGACGGCCCUACGGGUUGUAAACUGCUUUUAUACGGGAAUAAACCCAGAUACGUGUAUCUGGCUGAAUGUACUGUAAGAAUAAGGAUCGGCUAACUCCGUG